RNAcentral lists this ribosomal RNA (492 nucleotides) under uncultured bacterium. RNAcentral describes it as "partial 16S ribosomal RNA". It matches the Rfam family "Bacterial small subunit ribosomal RNA", at positions 29 to 507 of the family's 1533-position model. The record is from RNAcentral.
AGUGAACGCUGGCGGUAUGCCUAACACAUGCAAGUCGAACGGCAGCACAGUAUGAGCUUGCUCUUACGGUUGGCGAGUGGCGGACGGGUGAGGAAUACAUCGGCAUCUACUUUUUCGUGGGGGAUAACGUAGGGCAACUUACGCUAAUACCGCAUACGACCUACGAGUGAAAUCAAGGGAGCUUCGGACCUUGCGCUAUCUCAUGAGCCGAUGUCGGUUUGGCUAGUUGGCGGGGUAAAGGCCCACAAAGGCAGCGUUCCGUAGCUGGCCUGAGAGGAUGAUCACCCACACUGGAACGGAGACACGGCCCAGCUUCCUACGGGAGGCAGAAGUGGGGAAUAUUGGACAAUGGGCGAAAGCCUGAUCCAGCAAUACCGGGUGGGUGAAGAAGGCCUUCGGGUUGUAAAGCCUUUUUGUUGGGAAAGAAAAGCAGCAGGUUGAUACCCCGCUGUUCUGACGGUACCCAAAGAAUAAGCACCGGCUAACUUCGUG